CCAGACUCCUACGGGAGGCAGCAGUGGGGGAUAUUGCACAAUGGGGGGAACCCUGAUGCAGCGACGCCGCGUGGGUGAAGAAGUAUUUCGGUAUGUAAAGCCCUAUCGGCAGGGAAGAAUUUAGACGGUACCUGACUAAGAAGCCCCGGCUAACUACGUGCCAGCAGCCGCGGGAAUACGUAGGGGGCAAGCGUUAUCCGGAUUUACUGGGUGUAAAGGGAGCGUAGACGGCAUGGCAAGCCAGAUGUGAAAUACCGGGGCUCAACCCCGGGACUGCAUUUGGAACUGUUAAGCUGGAGUGUCGGAGAGGCAGGCGGAAUUCCUAGUGUAGCGGUGAAAUGCGUAGAUAUUAGGAGGAACACCAGUGGCGAAGGCGGCCUGCUGGACGAUAACUGACGUUGAGGCUCGAAAGCGUGGGGAGCAAACAGGAUUAGAUACCCCCGUACGG
This 448-nucleotide ribosomal RNA is filed under the name uncultured bacterium. RNAcentral's name for it is "bacterial SSU rRNA". It matches the Rfam family "Bacterial small subunit ribosomal RNA", at positions 331 to 793 of the family's 1533-position model. The record is from RNAcentral.